UAUAUUGUGUUUAUCAAAAUCAUAUGUACGGUCUAGUGGUCAAUAAGCAACCGGCCGAAUAGUUAGAUUAGGUAGAAGCCAAAUUCAUCGUAUAUGAAGAUCCUAUAAACGUAAAACAUCCCUAACGAUUUGGCGAUGCAAUUGUGGUUUCUCGACCUGAUUACAGAGUGCCUUCAUGAACGUGGAUUUCGUGCUUUCAAUCAUGCCCAGGAAUCUCUUGUACGAACUCAAGAACAAGAAUCGACUGGAUAUAACCUCAUAGAACAGUUUAGUCAUUCCUCAUGCACUCAAGCUGUUUUUACGUUCAUAUGGGUUGAAGAGAGUGGCGUCUGCUCGCUUCAAGGUCAUUUCAUUUUAAGUUCUCGGUACAUUUAUCCUUUGUUCACCGCUCCGUACGUAGAAUUACAACGCAGCGUGUGCGCAUACAGAAACAUGGCAUUGAUUCACUGGCUUAUCAGCGGCCACUGAUAUAAGUUUCAACAAUGAAACUUUCAAACUCGCUAUUGUCCUCAUUAAGUUUUUUUUUAACAUCAACGACCACGCUCAAAAGAACGCACGGGGCCGCCAAUGGUAUUACUUUGCGAACUAGUUUACGGAUGAGCCAACGAGUCGGCUGUAAGCAACAGUAACUUGAAGUAAUUCAUAAAUUUAAUUUCGCAGCUUACUUUUAUCACUGUAAUUCUGACAAAACCGUAAAUCUGCUUUAGUGGUGUUUUAAAGCAGUCAAAUGUGUAAAAUAUCUAUCGCAGUUCAUGUAUAUGCGAUAUAAAUGUUGAUUAUGUUAAAGCAA
Molecule: long non-coding RNA, 790 nt
Filed under: Varroa destructor (honeybee mite)
Lineage: Eukaryota; Metazoa; Arthropoda; Arachnida; Mesostigmata; Varroidae
Description: uncharacterized LOC111253867, transcript variant X3
Source: RNAcentral